This 71-nucleotide transfer RNA is filed under the name Loxodonta africana (African savanna elephant). It matches the Rfam family "tRNA". Rfam says of the family: Transfer RNA (tRNA) molecules are approximately 80 nucleotides in length. Lineage: Eukaryota; Metazoa; Chordata; Mammalia; Proboscidea; Elephantidae. The record is from Rfam by way of RNAcentral.
ACAUUGGUGGUUCAGUGGCAGAAUUCUCACAUUCCAUGUGGGAGACCUAAGUUUGAUUCCCAGCCAAUGCA